CCUACGGGUGGCAGCAGUCGAGAAUCAUUCACAAUGGGGGAAACCCUGAUGGUGCGACGCCGCGUGGGGGAAUGAAGGUCUUCGGAUUGUAAACCCCUGUCAUGUGGGAGCAAAUUAAAAAGAUAGUACCACAAGAGGAAGAGACGGCUAACUCUGUGCCAGCAGCCGCGGGAAUACAGCGGUCUCAAGCGUUGUUCGGAAUCACUGGGCGUAAAGCGUGCGUAGGCUGUUUCGUAAGUCGUGUGUGAAAGGCGAGGGCUCAACCCGCGGACGGCACAUGAUACUGCGAGACUAGAGUAAUGGAGGGGGAAGCGGAAUUCGUGGUGUAGCAGUGAAAUGCGUAGAUAUCGAGAGGAACACUCGUGGCGAAGGCGGGUUCCUGGACAUUAACUGACGCUGAGGCACGAAGGCCAGGGGAGCGAAAGGGAUUAGAUACCCUUGUAGUC
This 446-nucleotide ribosomal RNA is filed under the name uncultured bacterium. RNAcentral describes it as "partial 16S ribosomal RNA". It matches the Rfam family "Bacterial small subunit ribosomal RNA", at positions 338 to 795 of the family's 1533-position model. The record is from RNAcentral.